CACAAAUAUUUCCUUUACUAAAUGCUCUCACCUCUUGUAUACACCUGCGGCAACCCCACAAGUAAUCACUAGCUUGAAUUUUAUGUUUAUGUUUCUUUGUGUAGCAGGCAUUGUCAGUGUCCCCUCUGUAUCUUCUGGGCAUUCAUCAUUCCUAUAAAUGCAGAAGGAUUUUGCUGUAAGCACCUCUAACUCUGCCUAGGAGAUUUCACUGGAGUGUACAAGUUUUUCGAGACAGGGUCUUGCUUGUUACCCCGGCUGGAGUACAAGAGUGGGAUCACAGUUCAUGCAACCUUGAACUCCUGGGCUUCAGCGAUCCUCCUGCCUCAGCCUCCUGAAUAGCUGGGACUACAGGCACACACCACCACCCACAGCUAAUUCUGAAUUAUUUUGUAGAGAUGAGGUCAUAGUAUGUUGCUCAGGCUGGUCUCAAACUCCUGGUCUCAAGCGACUGUUCUGCCUUGGCCUCCCCAAAGUGCUAGGAUUACAGGCAUGAGCCACCAUGCUGUGCCUAUAACUUUUAUCUAAACAUUUUUUAGCUUUAUUCUACGUAAUACAUUUACUUCAUCUUUUGAGAUCAGGUAGGUAGAACUUCCCAGAUUGGUGCAGACAAGACCGUCUUUUUUUUUUUUUUUUUUUUUUUUUCCGGUACAGAUUCUCUCAAGAAGUUAGGGAUUGCACAGGCUGUCAGAAGCUGAGAUUCCUUAAUCUACUUUUACAAAAAAAUGAAGAAAAAUAUCACAGAGUGAAAAAGUUAUGAUAUCAAUUUGACCAGAAGUUCCAAUCACUUACAUUAUUUAUCACGUAGCCACUAGACCCUCUUCCAAUAAUCUAUGAUAUAUGGUGGUAGAUGAUGGUAGGAGAGAAUAUUCUUUUAUAGAUUUGCAGUAACUUUCUUGCCUUAGGCAGGGUGGAGUUGAGACUUGUCUAUUUUCUCUCAUUUUGGAUAAGGUGUAGCUCAAUCACCCACUUAACAUCUACCUCCUAAAAUGCCUUGCUCGUAGACCUGAGCUACUGAUCAAUACUUAUUAAUUUUAAAAUUCUUCUAUAUUUUGAGAGUUCAAGGACAGUUUUCUCUGGCUCUGUACAGCCUAGAAAGAGUAGUCUAGCAAGAGAGAGUUGAGAGUGCACAGUAUGGUAGAAAAUAACAAAUAGUUCAGUGGGUGUAUAAUGUAUCAUUUAAAAGGCUCAUUGUGAGAGAAGAGGCCAAGGAUGUUUAAAGGAAGAGUCAGCAAAAGGGGGAAGGCAUAUUGUUAGAUGCCUUACAUGCUGUUGCAGGGUUUGGACUUGAUUCUGAAAGCUGGGAGGCAUUAAGUGAGAUUGAGCAGGGGAAUAUAUUAAUGAGUUGUUGUUUUUGUUUGUUUUAUUUUAAGAAAAUUCACUCUGGAGGCUCUAUAAAGAACAGCUCACAGAAAUAAGUAGAUACCAUCUGACCAGCUAGAAAGCUCCUUUAGCAACUUGUUUCAGAAAGCUGAAUGCAUAACAAAUGUAGCAAUUGUGGAUUGAUAUAAAUGGGGAGGAUUGGAAAGGAGUUGAAAGAACUGAAUAGGUAACAUUUAUUGUUUAAUUAGAUAUGGUAAUAAAAACAUCAUAUCAAACGUGACUACAGAUUCUGGUUUGUGCAAUUGAGUGGAACUUGGAAGUCUAUUUAUUUAUUUUAUAUGCUGAUCAAGUUUUCAAAGAUGAUUUAAGGUGGCUAGAAAGAGUAAAUUAAAAAGAUUAAAUAUCAACAGCAGAAAUAUUAGAAAAAAAUUAAAGACAAAACAAAAGAAAUGAAAUGCAACCAAAAGAAAAGCAUGAGACAAAUGGAAAACUAUGGUAUUAUAACAAAAUAAGAUAGAACUAAAAGAAGUGGCAUGAGUAUGCAAAUAUAUUUAAUGAAAGCUUAUAAACUUGCUAAAGUUGGGUCACAAAUCAAUUCAGCACAAAGAUGUUUAGUAGGUUAUUCAAUAAGGGAAACAUAAUCGUAACAAGAUCCAUGUAGCUGCGUGGAAGGUAACAACAAAUCCACUGUUGCAGCAACUAGUAAUCAUUUCUGUUUCUGCAACAAGAAAAAUUCACAUCCAGGAAGUAGUGUCAUUUCCUUAAAGAGUAAAGAGAAGGAAUAGAUUAUAGACAGAAAUAAGGCUGAAUUCAGUCUAGCCAAUGUUAAGUCACUGCAUCUCUAACUAAACAGAUUUCUUGCUCUUUUCAAAUACUCACUGUCCAACACUUUGUGUUCUUCUUGAUUCCUAUCUGUGAGCCAGGAAACAAACAUUUUUUGAGAAUCCAUAAUGUACUUUUGACAGAGAAAUUUGCCUUGCAUCAAUGGCUUUCCUCUUUUUCUCUGCCUUAAUAACUCUAUCUCUUGUGAUUCCACCUCAUUCAUUUCCUAAUUCAUCAGUGCAGUUAUAUUGUAUUUUUAUACUAUGUAUUAACAACUGUGUGGCCUGGACUUCAAAGGCCUUAAAUACUUUAAAUCUUCUUUAUUCUCCACUUGCUGUCUCCAACAUCAAAAUUCUGUAAUCCAGGUUUUAUAAAAUAUGCAAUGUGUCUCACUGAUAGUGCUUGAAAAGAUUUUGGGAGAUACAUGAAUAUGGUCUUAAAUAACACAGAAUCACAUACUGAGAAAACAUUCCUCUUUCAAUUCUGUUUCAUAUUUAAUGAUGAAUUCAAGAAGCAGUUCUCCAUUUUGUAUAUUUGUAAGAGUUUUUAAUACUAAUCUUCUUUAAUCCAAAAUCUCUGCUUUAGAGUCUUUUAGCAGUCAGUGGUGGAUAAAUAGAAUUUAAAAAUUUGUUUUGUUUUUAUUGUAUUAUCUUUGAUUUUCACAAAGUGAUAGUGUUUUCUUUUUCCAGGGCAGUGAAAUAGAACUUCCUUUUAAAAUAAAUUUAUUUCAGUUAAGAAUUGAAUUGAGUGCAUUAAUAAUAUUCAGAUAUUAAUAUUAAAUGACGUGCAACUAUGGGGGAAAAAACUUUGGAAAAUAUUACACUUAUUUCAUGGAUAUAACACAAAUCAGAAACCUAAGAUGCAGAUGACUAACUUUGGGAAACAACUAUGAUGUCCACCAACCCAACCUACUUGCCUUUCUGCAAAUAAGACUGUAUUAGCAACUGUUAUGCCUUUGCUGUGCUGGCACCUUAGCUUCAAAAUCUCUCCUAGCCUUUUCCACUUGACGAACUCCUACUCACCUGUCAAAAAUUAGCUUCUGCAUCUCCUCCAAUAUGAAGCUUUUGCUUAUUUUACCUAUAAACUGUUACUUACUAAACUGUAGUGCAAGUAUUUGUUCAAGUAUCAAACUCCCCAUUUUACUGCAAACUUUUUGUAGCAAUGUGUUAUUUGUCUUUGUAUCUCUAAUUUCUACCACAAUGACAGACACAAAAC
RNAcentral lists this long non-coding RNA (3357 nucleotides) under Homo sapiens (human). Its description in RNAcentral is "HSALNT0011349". Lineage: Eukaryota; Metazoa; Chordata; Mammalia; Primates; Hominidae. The record is from RNAcentral.